This 245-nucleotide long non-coding RNA is filed under the name Pan troglodytes (chimpanzee). RNAcentral describes it as "long non-coding RNA NONPTRT011694". Lineage: Eukaryota; Metazoa; Chordata; Mammalia; Primates; Hominidae. The record is from RNAcentral.
GGGGUUAUCAGGAAACACAAUGUUAGGAGUCAGUCAUGUUGUCACCACAAGUGUUGGGAUGUGUGAUAUUGAUAUCAGACCAGGUCUCUAUGGCAGUGUAAUAGUGGCAGGAGGAAACACACUAAUACAGAGUUUUACUGACAGGUUGAAUAGAGAGCUGUCUCAGAAAACUCCUCCAAGUAUGCGGUUGAAAUUGAUUGCAAAUAAUACAACAGUGGAACGGAGGUUUAGCUCAUGGAUUGGCG